CGGGACCGAGCAGGCGUCUGCGUCCGCGGGCUGGCUUGGAAGUUUCUGGCCUCUAGAUGCUCCCAGUUGAAAACGCAGCUUUGGAAAGAGGCUCAGUCGGCCCCGCUUUGUAGUGGAGUCCAGCAUCAAAGUCAUCCCCGCGAAGAUCCAAAGGAAUAAAUAAAUCUCGUCGUCCGCUGAGACCGUCACCUUCUCCCCAUCCGCUCCUCCCUCGCGCCAGCCCCACCCCGAACGCCUCGGUUGCAAAAACAAAUAAAAUAAAGCAAAACCUCUUGCUUUGGCAA
Molecule: long non-coding RNA, 284 nt
Organism: Leopardus geoffroyi (Geoffroy's cat)
Lineage: Eukaryota; Metazoa; Chordata; Mammalia; Carnivora; Felidae
Exons: 2
Source: RefSeq, a predicted model, not a curated record